RNAcentral lists this ribosomal RNA (305 nucleotides) under uncultured bacterium. Its description in RNAcentral is "bacterial SSU rRNA". It matches the Rfam family "Bacterial small subunit ribosomal RNA", at positions 337 to 640 of the family's 1533-position model. The record is from RNAcentral.
GCCUACGGGAGGCAGCAGUGAGGAAUAUUGGUCAAUGGGCGGUAGCCUGAACCAGCCAAGUAGCGUGAAGGAUGAAGGUUCUAUGGAUUGUAAACUUCUUUUAUAAAGGAAUAAAGUGAGGCACGUGUGCCUUUUUGUAUGUACUUUAUGAAUAAGGAUCGGCUAACUCCGUGCCAGCAGCCGCGGUAAUACGGAGGAUCCGAGCGUUAUCCGGAUUUAUUGGGUUUAAAGGGUGCGUAGGCGGGACGGUAAGUCAGCGGUAAAAAUGCGGAGCUCAACUCCGUCGAGCCGUUGAAACUGCCGUU